This 1318-nucleotide long non-coding RNA is filed under the name Pogona vitticeps (central bearded dragon). RNAcentral describes it as "lncRNA (ENSPVIG00000003419.1)". The record is from RNAcentral. Lineage: Eukaryota; Metazoa; Chordata; Lepidosauria; Squamata; Agamidae.
GCAAAGAGAGGAUUUGGGGGGGGGGGUUUAAAAAGUGGCCUCCCCCCUCUUGCCUUAUAUCACACAUAAGCUACCUAAAAAACGCCCAAAACCUUAGAAAUCAAGAGUCGGAACACAACAGAGCCUCCAGCUCGGGUUCCCUGGAGUAAGAUUUAAGGAUCCAAAGCGGCUCAACCGAAGGAAAAUUUAGGAUUUUUUAAAAAUUAGGGCCAAAGCCAAAUAAUGCGCUCUUCGGUCAACCGAUCUCUUAGUGAGUCGCUUAGGCAGUUUUCCUGAGGUCUCCAGGGCUGGAGGAUCGGGCCCCGGGCAGUGAACGGGGAGAGCCUCUGCAGUCCGGAUCCCACCCCGGACAGCUGGCUCGCUUUUUCUAUCGCUCGCUCGCUCGCUCGCGCCACGGACCUUCCUCUCCGUUUAAAGACCCACUGGAAGCGCCUCGGGGCAGCGACCGCUCCGUCUCUUUCACCCAUCCACGCCGGCCUGAUGCUUUCCGGCCUUCCAAUCCUCUCCCGUUUUUUAAACAGAUAUUUUCCCGUCCUUCCAAAAUUAAAAUAAAAUACCGUAACAUUUUUUUUAAAAAAAACCCAGACAAGGAAACCAAACCGCGGACAUCUAUUUAUUGUCUUUAAAAGGGAAAGGGGGGGGGGGUUGAGAAAGAACGCAAAAAAAGAGAAGCAGCCCAUCGUUGCCCUCCGAGGGAUUUUCUACGCUACUCCCUAACGGAACGGCCGGGGGUUGGGUGGGGGUGGAAAUAAGGCUUCUUGCGGAACUACAAAGCUCAUCAUCCCCAACCUUGGGGAUUCAGGGUUUUUGUACGCGCCCCGCAAAAAAAUAAAAAUACAAAAAGGGAAUGUUCCCGAAGUCAGUCUUUUUCAUUACUUUUUCCCCCUUUACGCGGCUGCGCAUCCAGCGCGGUUAGUUUUCUCUCUUUUUUUUUAAACGCGGGGGCCCAGGAGGUGUCCCCGUUCCCACGCGCGCCCCAGCCGACAACACGGGAAGGGAAGAGCGGAGCGGAGCGAGCGCUGCCGGCCUGCCUUGCCCGGCCAUUGCCANNNNNNNNNNCCUUCCCCGACACGCGAGAGGCGCGUCGUCCUUCCCCCGAGUCCCAGCUUUUCCACGGGGGUCUCCCUCGUGCACGUCUGACCCGGCCGCCCGAAGGAGUCUCUACGGGUCCCGGGCUUCCUCGCGAGUCGGCGCGGCCCGACUGCGCUCGGGAGAGGACCGGCCGCCGCCGCCGCCGGGGCCAAGCCGCCUAGCGAAGCCGCGAGCGAUGGAGCGAGCGCAAGCAGAAAUAAAAAAAAAAAAGGAGAAAAAAAAAUCA